GAUGAAGAACGUAGCAAAAUGCGAUAAGUAAUGUGAAUUGCAGAAUUCAGUGAAUCAUCGAAUCUUUGAACGCACAUUGCGCCCGCUAGUAUUCUGGCGGGCAUGCCUGUUCGAGCGUCAUUUCAACCAUCAAGCCCUGCUUGUGUUGGGGUCCUGCGGCUGCCCGCAGGCCCUGAAAACCAGUGGCGGGCUCGCUAGUCACACCGAGCGCAGUAGCACAUCUCGCUCAGGGCGUGCGGCGGGUUCUUGCCGUAAAACACCCCCUUUUUACCAAGGUUGACCUCGGAUCAGGUAGGAAUACCCGCUGAACUUAAGCAUAUCAAUAGCGGAGGA
RNAcentral lists this unclassified non-coding RNA (333 nucleotides) under soil metagenome. RNAcentral's name for it is "partial contains 5.8S ribosomal RNA, internal transcribed spacer 2, and large subunit ribosomal RNA". The stretch from base 1 to 120 matches the Rfam family "5.8S ribosomal RNA", at positions 35 to 154 of the family's 154-position model. The record is from RNAcentral.